GGAAAAGAGAAAGAAAGAGAAAGAAAGAAAGGAAAGAAAAAGAGAGAAAGAAAGGAAGGAAGGAAAGAUGAAGGAAAAUUGAGGCUGAGGAUCUGAGAUAGUCUGUAUAUGUAGCAACCUCUUUCGGCCACCACAUGGUUUUACUCCCUCAAUCUGCAGAGCUGUGCAGCAUUCUACUCCAAUGAUCAAGGACUCAGAAGAUCUUGUAUCUGGAAACUCAUGCUCCACCUGCAGCAGACCAGAGACCCUGGGGAAAUUCAUUUUGUUACACAGAAGCAGCCCUUUGUAGGGAGAGAGCAGUGAGGACAGUCCCUACAAUAGUGGCUGGGAGAUAAUGGCAGAGCUCAGGAUCCCUGUCCUCUACUGGGGAGAAAGGCAUGUAAGAAGAUGAGAAUGCCGAGUGUUAAAUGAGAAGAUCAGGAACCUGAGGCUUGAAGAAGUUAGAUGACCUGGUUAAGGCCACUUGACUGGAUUCAAACCCUGCCUGACUCCACAUGACUCCUUUGGGCAGCAUCGUGUGACCACACCACGUAAGAUCUAGGUCCUGCCUUGGAGAGCUGAUGAACCAAACCAGCAGGAAGGUAGACAAGUCCUGAUAAGGACACUUAAAAAAAUAAUAAUAUGGGUCUUGCUCCGUCACUCAGGUUGGAGUGCAGUGGUGCAAUCACAGCUCAGUGCAGUCUCAACCUCCCAGGCUCAAGUAAUCCUCCCACCUUGGCCUCCCAAAGUGCUGGGAUUAUAGACCUCAGACAUGGUACCCAGCCCUGAGAAGGACUUUGAUGAAAAAGUACAUGGUGUGUGGUGAGAGUGGCUCCCAGAGGAGGGGUUGAGUUGUAUUCCAGCAGGGUUAGUUGGAUAGGGGCGGAGGGAAAGUUCAGGACAAGAGAACAUCUCACAAAAGUGAGAACUUGUAGAAUAUCCUGACUUGUUAGGUGAAUUGUAGGCAGUCUUUAUGUGGUCAUAUGUGUUGGGGGCAGGAUGGGGAAGGCGAAUUCGGUCAGAUGCCGCCAACGAGGCAGCAGGAGCCAGAGCACUAAAGGCCUUGAGUGCUGACCUAAGGGAUUGAAAUUCCUCCUGCAAGUAGCAGGGGGCUACUGAAGCUUGAAGUGAGGUAUGACACAAUCUCAUUUUCAUCUUACAAGCUCAUUUUCAUGACUGCAAUAUGGGCAAGAAAGACAGGGUAGUCCAUUGAGUAGAUUAUUCCAGAAAUCCAAGUUGGAUGUAAUGCAACUUGCUGAACCACUGAACCAGAGCAGUGGUUACGAAGAUGUGGAGGAUAGAUUCAAGAGCUAGAAAAGAGAUAGAGGGAUCAGGACUUGGAGUGGUUUCUUUAUUCAUUGAUUCGUCCAUUCAAAAAAUACCUGUUGUGGCUGGGUGUGGUGG
This 1383-nucleotide long non-coding RNA is filed under the name Homo sapiens (human). Its description in RNAcentral is "HSALNT0221486". Lineage: Eukaryota; Metazoa; Chordata; Mammalia; Primates; Hominidae. The record is from RNAcentral.